Dromaius novaehollandiae (emu) is the source of this 599-nucleotide long non-coding RNA. RefSeq lists it as uncharacterized. The transcript is spliced from 3 exons. Lineage: Eukaryota; Metazoa; Chordata; Aves; Casuariiformes; Dromaiidae. The record is from RefSeq and is a predicted model, not a curated record.
AAGGGGGACAUCUCGAAGAGAAGCAGCAAGACCUCGGGAUCCGGUGGUUCAUUUUGGUCGUCGCCUGUGAGGCCAGCAUCCAAGAGUAAGAGGAAGCUAGGAGCAGUCUCAAAAAGAGAUGGAACCAAGGACAGCAAAUGCUGACGAAGAGAAGAGACGGACGAGCGUUUGCUUGCGGUUAAUACCGAAGGGACGGGAUGAAAUAAGGAAGCCAGAAUGCAGCGGCCCCUCGAUAUCACCAGGAACUGCUACAGGAGGAGGCGUUCUGGCACGGGUAACUAGGAUUAAUUGCCACGGCUGAAGUUGAAGAGACCGAGAAACGUAAGCCCCAAAGGGGCACAUCUUGGAGAGAGGGGGCUAGACCUAGCGAUCCAGUUGUUCGUUUUGGUCGUCGCCUGUGAGGCCAGCAUCCAAGAGUAAGAGGAAGCUAGGAGCAGUCUCAAAAAGGUAAUAGGUUUGAAAGGGAGACAGGCAAAUCGAGGGCUGUCGUUCCUCCACGUAGUUAAAGACCGAGAGAAUUGUCGGUUAAGCGCAUGCAUACGAGGGUUUGCGAACAGUAACAAUAACACUGAAGCGGAAUAAAAAUAAGGUUUUGUGGA